This 405-nucleotide long non-coding RNA is filed under the name Capsella rubella. Its description in RNAcentral is "long non-coding RNA (CRUB_LNC001147)". The record is from RNAcentral. Lineage: Eukaryota; Viridiplantae; Streptophyta; Magnoliopsida; Brassicales; Brassicaceae.
GAGAAAUGUAGUCUAGCCUGAACAAGAUUUGUGGGUAAGUUAGUCACCCCACUAUGCUAGGCAACUGAGUCUCUCUGUUUUUGUCUCUUUGAAUGUUUUUUUUCUGGUUCACUCCUCUGAGCUAUGCACCUGUGUACAAAGGAAUCUCUGUAUGAUCAUUGGAACAUGUCUCAGGUGUGUAUCCUAUCUCUUUAAAAUAAAAAAAAAAUAAAAUAAAAUAAAAAUCUUUUCUGGAUCAUAUAUAUAUAUAUAUAUAUAUAUAUAUAUAUAUAUAUAUUUUCAAAUUUGUCUGUAUUUUCUCGACAGUUCUUGGAUUAGCCGUGGUUGUCUCUGUCAGUGUCUUAGUUGAUGUGCUGUGUUUUCUUAAUCCAUUAUGUUAAGUCUAGAUUUUUUGUCCAACUGGGC